GAUGAACGCUGGCGGCGUGCCUAAUACAUGCAAGUCGAGCGAACAGACGAGGAGCUUGCUCCUCUGACGUUAGCGGCGGACGGGUGAGUAACACGUGGAUAACCUACCUAUAAGACUGGGAUAACUUCGGGAAACCGGAGCUAAUACCGGAUAAUAUAUUGAACCGCAUGGUUCAAUAGUGAAAGACGGUUUUGCUGUCACUUAUAGAUGGAUCCGCGCCGCAUUAGCUAGUUGGUAAGGUAACGGCUUACCAAGGCAACGAUGCGUAGCCGACCUGAGAGGGGCGGGGGCCACAAUGAGGCAUACAUACAGCGCGGACUCCUGCGGGGAGCCGCAGUAGGGAAGUUUGUGCAAUUGGGGCAACACUGACAGAGCGACGCAGCGAGAGUGAAGAAGGUUUUUGGAUAGUAAAGCUCUGUUGUAAGUCAAGAACGAGUGUGAGAAGGGAAAAUUCACACUGAGACGGGAGCUUACCAGAAAGGGACGGCUAACUACGUG
This 498-nucleotide ribosomal RNA is filed under the name uncultured bacterium. Its description in RNAcentral is "partial 16S ribosomal RNA". It matches the Rfam family "Bacterial small subunit ribosomal RNA", at positions 28 to 507 of the family's 1533-position model. The record is from RNAcentral.